Molecule: small RNA, 1303 nt
Filed under: Pan troglodytes (chimpanzee)
Lineage: Eukaryota; Metazoa; Chordata; Mammalia; Primates; Hominidae
Description: retained intron
Source: RNAcentral
GGAGGAUCAUGAGCCCAGAAAUUCAAGACCGGCCUGGGCAACAUAGGGAGACUGUCUCAAAGACAAAGGGUAUUUCUCACAACCUCUGUUUGUGAAGGAAAAAGAAAAGAUAGAGGUUUUUUGGGUUUUCGAAGGCAAGAAAUAAGUUCCAGUGUUUCCAUCCUUUUUGAGACCGUGGGGCCAAGAAUGUGAGCAGUGUCUCUGGCCUGGCCUAUUUGGACUCUGGGAUGUGCUUGGGCCCCAGUUGACUGACCAGGUGCAUUAUGCUUUCCCAGGUCAGCAGAUCCGGAAGCUCAUCAAAGAUGGGCUGAUCAUCCGCAAGCCUGUGACGGUCCAUUCCCGGGCUCGAUGCCGGAAAAACACCUUGGCCCGCCGGAAGGGCAGGCACAUGGGCAUAGGUAAGUGUGGUCAUCUUCUCCUUAAGAAAUGAUAGGUGCUGGCGUCUAUGCUGAAAUAUAUUCAGGAUCUAAGCACUCUGUCUCAUCUUGAGCCCGUUUCUUACUCCUUGAUAUUUGAUGUGUUUUCUGCCUGUGUGCAAAUCAGAAAGUUGGUGCUGGUAUUGGAAUUGAGAGUAUCCCUGGUAGGAGGUCACAUUUACUAAGUCCCUACCUACACUAUGCCAAGGAUUCUGUACUUUCUAGUUUCAGAAUGAUCGAAGGAAGCUCCUUACAACGUGCUGUGUUGCCUUGGUGCACUGCCUGUUACACCCACAUUCUGCAUGAAGUGAAUGGGGAAUUAUUGCUGUAUUUGUGCUUCCUUUAAAAUUGAGUAAACGAAAGAACUUAUGUAGUUGGGAUCAUCAUCUGGAAAAUGGAAGUAAUGCUACUUAAAAUGAGGUUGUGAGGAUUAAAUGAGUUAAGGACCCUGACUUGAAACUAUAUUCACUUGGUGUACUUAUACACAGUGGGCCUGGAUAGUGGCCCGUUCCUAACUCAUCUUCUCCACAGGUAAGCGGAAGGGUACAGCCAAUGCCCGAAUGCCAGAGAAGGUCACAUGGAUGAGGAGAAUGAGGAUUUUGCGCCGGCUGCUCAGAAGAUACCGUGAAUCUAAGAAGAUCGAUCGCCACAUGUAUCACAGCCUGUACCUGAAGGUGAAGGGGAAUGUGUUCAAAAACAAGCGGAUUCUCAUGGAACACAUCCACAAGCUGAAGGCAGACAAGGCCCGCAAGAAGCUCCUGGCUGACCAGGCUGAGGCCCGCAGGUCUAAGACCAAGGAAGCACGCAAGCGCCGUGAAGAGCGCCUCCAGGCCAAGAAGGAGGAGAUCAUCAAGACUUUAUCCAAGGAGGAAGAGACCAAGAAAUAA